This 78-nucleotide non-coding RNA is filed under the name unclassified sequences. RNAcentral describes it as "L20-Deltaproteobacteria ribosomal protein leader". It matches the Rfam family "L20-Deltaproteobacteria ribosomal protein leader". The record is from RNAcentral.
GGUUGUGAACUGUGGGGACAAUCUCCCCCUGCAGAUCCAGCCACGGCAGUUGCCGAAAAACUAUUCAAUGAGAAGGAG